UAUAUAUUUUUCCAUUGCAUUUGCUGCUACUCUUUUAUGAGCGCAAAGUGGUAAGUUUUGACAAACUUACACAGUGCGUAGCUCAUGGCAUAUUACCAAAAAAAGAGGAAAAGUCUGGGAAAUUUCAAUUGUUUGAACCUUGUUGUCAAUCACUUUUUACUAGUUCCUACUGAGAAAUUUCACUCUUGCUUGCUCCAAAUGAACCCAACCUAUCAGAGAAAAUACCAUUAUAAAUCACUGGUACUGAAAGACUGUCUAAAGAAACAGGCCUGUGAUACAUUUGUCAUUCCUGCUCUCGAGGGUAAUGCAAUUUGCAAGAAAAAAAAAAAAUCAAUGUGAUUUGGACUGCAUUUUGCAAUUUGGAACUAUAAAUUCUGGCUUAUCUGAAUAACACUUAUGUGCAUGGGGAAACUAAUGGCACAUACGUUGUUUUUAAACCGGACCGGAACUUAAAGUUCCUAAAUUGCAAAAUGUAGACCAUUUAAUAAUUGGAGAAAUUGACAAUAGAUUAAAAGAAAGUUUCAAUUUUCAUUGCAUGAAUAACCAUCCAUUUGAGUAGGGUCUGUCUUAUUUUUACUACUUUCAAAAUUCCUGUCAGUUUUAUACUUUAUUUUUUCUUUACUUUUGAUUCGUAGAACAUAAAAUAGUUUUUUCUUCCUUUGUAAAUUCUUCCCUUAAUUCUUUCAUUUUAGGAGCUCCUUGGCUUUGUUACAAGGCUCUCAAUGUUUUCAUAAUGAGGAUUCAGACAUGGAAUGGUCAGACUCUUCAGCAUCACAAACUUGGUGGUCUACAAAUCGGUCUACAAGAUGGAAGCAUGUCGUGCGUGUCACAAGUAUCUGGUUGUGACACUUCUUUUCAAAUCAACAAACUGCAGACUGAGAUACUCGUCCACGAGCAAAGAUUUUCUUUGAGUGGUGUGAUUCGAUACAAAAAUGAUUCGGCACACUAUGUGGCAUAUGUUCGGAAAAUGAAUGGACAUUGGGAAAUACAUGAUGACCUAAAGGAUGAGCCCCAGCUCAACCCAUCAACAAGCAAACACAUAAAUCUUAUCUUCUAAUUUAUACUGAAAUAUGGAAUGAGCUGGAAUCAUGAGUUGAAAGUUCGUUGUCACCUUCUUGUUUCAUUCGUUCAUCAGCACAUUUUCGUUUCACAGGAAAAACACUAGCACUUCAAUCUGCCCAAUUUUCGAAAUCCUUCUACUGUUGUAAUUGUAGACAUGUAUUAUGUAUUAUUGUAUUUGUAUUAUGUGUGUUUGAGAUUUCGUAGAUACAGUUGUAAAUACAGCAAUAAAAGUAUUCCUUUUUUUUAAAACACUUUUUUGAAGGACAAAAUUGUCAAGACAAAUCGUACGAAUUACUUCGAACUGAACAUAACCUAUAAUCAAAAUAACAACACCAAUAGGCAAGUUCUAGUAGCAACAGCCGCCAUUCGGUGGUCAGCAAUCUCCAGUGUUGCACAACAGCGGUCACCGCUUAUGAAAAAAACGCCCCUCAAGAGCCUCUGAGAAGUUUUGAAACUUUCAGCCGUACUUUCUCUGCGCUUGUAAGUCUGAUUGUCAAUAUUUUUGGCUCAAAAAUCAAGCAGAAAUAAUCUAGAUCUUGUGGAUCUGCUUUUUGGAAUUUGAACAACAUUAUCUCAGUAAUCGUCGAAGGAAAGUGAAAUUCUCAGUGGCGACUGGUGGCGCUAUCUCUAAUCUUGAAAUAUCCCUAAUCGAACCCUGGAUUCACCUUAAUUUGUGAAUAUUCAUGCAAGUCAAAGAAAACUUUGUUUAUUGUCGUUGAUGCAACUUCGGCGUGUUUUUUUUUUUUUCAUCGGAGUCAUUUGAUUCCGAGUG
This 1834-nucleotide long non-coding RNA is filed under the name Bemisia tabaci. Its description in RNAcentral is "lncRNA ENSSSA3NGG005488". Lineage: Eukaryota; Metazoa; Arthropoda; Insecta; Hemiptera; Aleyrodidae. The record is from RNAcentral.